UACUUUCUUGUGUUUUGUUAUUUAAGGUUCUAAAACAAUGUGGCUACUAACAGUUCGAUUUGAGCAUCUAAAUGGAAGCUGGAUUUAAUUGUUUAAUAACAAAACAAAAU
Molecule: long non-coding RNA, 110 nt
Organism: Drosophila grimshawi
Lineage: Eukaryota; Metazoa; Arthropoda; Insecta; Diptera; Drosophilidae
Exons: 3
Source: RefSeq, a predicted model, not a curated record